Molecule: ribosomal RNA, 253 nt
Filed under: uncultured bacterium
Lineage: Bacteria
Description: partial 16S ribosomal RNA
Rfam family: Bacterial small subunit ribosomal RNA
Source: RNAcentral
UACAGAGGGGGCAAGCGUUGUUCGGAAUUACUGGGCGUAAAGGGCGCGUAGGCGGCCUGCUAAGUCGAACGUGAAAUCCCUGGGCUCAACCCAGGAACUGCGUCCGAUACUGGUUGGCUUGAAUCCGGGAGAGGGACGUGGAAUUCCAGGUGUAGCGGUGAAAUGCGUAGAUAUCUGGAGGAACACCGGUGGCGAAGGCGAUGUCCUGGACCGGUAUUGACGCUGAGGCGCGAAAGCCAGGGGAGCAAACGGG